GACGAACGCUGGCGGCGUGCUUAACACAUGCAAGUCGAACGGAAAGGCCCGGCGUUUGUGGGGUGCUCGAGUGGCGAACGGGGGAGUAACACGUGAGUAACCUGCCCUUGACUUUGGGAUAACUUCAGGAAACUGGGGCGAAUACCGGAUAGGAGCUCCUGCUGCAUGGGGGGGGUUGGAAAGUGUCGGCGGUGGGGGAUGGACUCGCGGCUUAUCAGCUUGUUGGUGGGGUAGUGGCUUACCAAGGCUUUGACGGGUAGCCGGCCUGAGAGGGUGACCGGCCACAUUGGGACUGAGAUACGGCCCAGACUCCUACGGGAGGCAGCAGUGGGGAAUAUUGCACAGUGGGCGGAAGCCUGAUGCAGCAACGCCGCGUGCGGGAUGCCGGCCUUCGGGUUGUAAACCGCUUUCGCCUGUGCCGAAGCGUGAGUGACGGUAAUGGGUAAAGAAGCCCCGGCUAACUACGUG
Molecule: ribosomal RNA, 468 nt
Filed under: uncultured bacterium
Lineage: Bacteria
Description: partial 16S ribosomal RNA
Rfam family: Bacterial small subunit ribosomal RNA
Source: RNAcentral